This 253-nucleotide ribosomal RNA is filed under the name uncultured bacterium. RNAcentral's name for it is "partial 16S ribosomal RNA". It matches the Rfam family "Bacterial small subunit ribosomal RNA", at positions 524 to 776 of the family's 1533-position model. The record is from RNAcentral.
UACGUAGGGGGCAAGCGUUGUCCGGAUUCAUUGGGCGUAAAGAGCGUGUAGGCGGCCAGGUAGGUCGGUUGUGAAAACUGGAGGCUCAACCUUCAGAGGUCGACCGAAACCAUCUGGCUAGAGUCCGGGAGAGGAGAGUGGAAUUCCUGGUGUAGCGGUGAAAUGCGCAGAUAUCAGGAAGAACACCCGUGGCGAAAGCGGCUCUCUGGAACGGUACUGACGCUCAUGCACGAAAGCGUGGGGAGCAAACAGG